UAGCGUAGGCAGCGAGCGUUGUUCGGAGUUACUGGGCGUUAAAGGGUGUGUAGGACGGUUCUUUAAGUUUGGUGUGAAAUCUCCCGGCUCAACCGGGAGGGUGCGCCGAAUACUGAGGGACUAGAGUAUGGGAUGGGAAAGUGGAAUUCCUGGUGUAGCGGUGAAAUGCGUAGAUAUCAGGAGGAACACCUGUGGUGUAGACGGCUUUCUGGACCAUAACUGACGCUGAGACACGAAAGCGUGGGUAGCAAACAGG
Molecule: ribosomal RNA, 256 nt
Filed under: uncultured bacterium
Lineage: Bacteria
Description: partial 16S ribosomal RNA
Rfam family: Bacterial small subunit ribosomal RNA
Source: RNAcentral